UGAUACUGCUGGGAUCAUCAUUCUGCAUGCUGAUAGAGUACUGCCUUAUCCCACCCAACCUCCUCUCCUUCUCUAAUCUCACUGCCUCCUCCUGCUCCUCCCAAGGAACUUUAAAAAAAAUUAUUUGCAGAUCAAGUGGGAAUUAUAUAAGGAAGGGGGCUCUUUGCAAGCUUAGAUGGUCCACAAAUGAGAAGGAGGAAAAGAUGGAGCUGCAUAUCUUAGAGCACAGGCUGAAAGUAGCAAGUAUAGCCAAGGACGGUAUCCAGUUGUUUACCCAUGGAUUAAUCAAACUUGCUUUUCUGCCGUCAAAGACGAGGUGCAAGUUCUUUAGCCUAACUGAGACUCCUGAAGACUACACCAUUAUUGUGGAUGAAGAAGGAUUUAAGGAACUGCCUAGGUCGGAUCUCCUGAGCGUGGCAGAUGAGACAUGGCUGGCAUUAAACGUUGUCUCUGGCGGAGGCAGUUUCUCCAGCUCACAGCCCAUUGGAGUCACCAAGAUUGCCAAAUCAGUGAUUGCACCCCUGGCAGAUCAUAAUAUCUCUGUGUUCAUGCUUUCCACAUAUCAAACAGACUUCAUCUUGGUACGGGAAAGAGAUUUGCCAUUAGUUAUGCACACUCUCUCAGCAGAAUUUACCAUCCUCAGGGUCGUAAACGGGGAGCCAGUUGCUGCUGAUCAUUUAGGAAUCACCAACGGAUUUGUGAAGCCAAAGCUAGUUCAAAGGCCAGUCAUUCAUCCACUGUCCAGUCCCAGCAACAAGUUCUGUGUAACGAGCUUGGACCCUGAUACCUUACCGACUGUGGCUACACUCCUCAUGGAUGUCAUGUUUUAUUCCAAUGGCAUGAAAGAUUCCGCAGUAGGCAGUGAUGAAAAUGGUCAUAUUCGUUUCUUCUCCUUCUCUCUCAUUGAGGGCUAUAUCUCCUUAGUGAUGGAUGUGCAGACACAACAAAGGUUUCCAAACAAUCUAUUGUUUACGAGUGCAUCAGGAGAGCUCUGGAAGAUGGUUCGGAUAGGUGGGCAGCCCCUAGGAUUCGAUGAAUGUGGAAUCGUUGCCCAGAUUGCAGAGCCUCUGGCUGCCGCUGAUAUCCCUGCAUACUACAUCAGUACAUUUAAGUUUGAUCACGCCUUGGUAAGUUUCAAAACAGCCUGAUUACAAAAGAGCAGACUGCAGUGUUAUUUUCUGGACGAAAAUUAGACCUGUCACUUUGCAUCACUGUUGCUUCUUAUAACUAUUUAUUCCGCUUUAACCCAGCAUGGAUCUGGCAAGAUUCUGAAGAGCUUGCUUGUUGAAUGUGAACUGUGUGAAGCUGAUGUUACUGACAAGGUUAAUGUGCUGAACCAUGGCCAGUUCAUUAGAGUAAAAUGUUGUUUUUCCUUCUGUUUGCAUGCCCGCUCUCUGCUUCGCUGCCCCUUAGUAUCGAGACUGAUUUAUCAGCAGAUUGAUUAUUGCUAAUUGUUUUAGUCUGUUAAAGCAUAAAGCUGAAGAAAUGAAGCUUGCAAAUUUUUUUGCUGUGCUUGCUUUUUUGCCUCCCUUUUAAGUGCAGAGCUGUUGAACUGUGUCCCCUGCAGAUAGUGCGAGGAAUUGUUAUUCAUCCAUAUCCUGUUCUGAUCCAUGGUACACAUUUCUGAACAAUGUCCCUGCAAAUUUUCCCCAUUAAAGCAAUGUUUAUUCGGCUUAGCAAUGCGCUGUUUAUUUUCCAGUUGUGUUAGUAAGCCUAAUAUUUGUUUGAAGAAUUCUAUGUCCUUACUCUUGGCCCUAGAUUUCAAUAUUUUUAACAGUAUUUCUGUUGCAGUCUUUUUCUGCAUUAAUAUCAGAUUUCAGAAGAAAACUUGUCUCACUGAAUGAAGUAUCUGUUCUGUCAGUCUGACAACAGGUUUUAUACUUGAGUAAUUUUAUUACAAGUAAUCUGACCGUUUCUGAGGAAAGGAGGGCAAUCUCACCAUAUUCAAAAUCUAUGCUUAUCUUUAUUUUUUUUCUCAAUUUUCUCCCCUUCUGUAAGGUUUUCAUGCAGAGCUCAGUUAAGUGGAGUUGGCAGUCAUUAGCACCUCACCAGCUCUUUGUGCCUCAUGCAGUUUCAACAAAUGGAGGGGCCCCUUGACCAGGCCAGAUCCUGCCCACAGUGAAGCCACCAGCAGAGGGCAGAAUUUUGAGUCAGCCACGGGACUAUUGGCUGCAGAGCCAAUGGGAGUCCCAUGUCAUCCCUUUUGGGCAGGCCCCACAGAAUUAAGUGCCAAUCGGGCACUCAUCUAGGCACUGUUGGGUCCUUCCCUGGGUAGCGAGAGCUACAGGCCUCUGGUUGCUCAGUAGCACCACCAGGCAUGAGGUUGAUGCUGCUGCUCAGGCCCCUACCCAAGACCCAAGAUCAUGGAAGAGACCCUGUCCACUGGCCGUGUAUAGCCGGAGGGCGAUCACAGGCUGGGAGCCACUGGGGAAUUGUGGAGAAGGGCAGCAGUUAGCAGCAGUGUUGGGUGGGGUAACUCAUAGCAUGCUCACCCCCAGCCUCAUUCUUGAUCAGUCCUUGAUUGCCUUUGAAUGAUUUCCCAUUUAGUUGGUGGGAAGCAGGAAGGCUGGCUGUGGACUGUGGUAGGGGCAAGCGGCCAUUCUCCCACUGAAUUGUUUGACUGCAUGCUUCACUGAGCUCAUGGCUGGCAAGGGCAUGAAUUUCCAGCCGCGGAGACCUCACUGUGGUGAACUGUGCUAGGAAACCAGUCGGGCUUUCCCUCCCUAACCCUGGGCUAUUCAAUUCUGUGAGGAGCUUCCUAUACUCCCCCUGUCUGAGAACACCAACACAAUGCCUUGAUGAAAUGCAUACUCGUGUAUCAAAGACAGAGAAGGAGAUGAUCCGACUAAUCUAUAGAAUAAGGCAAGUAUGGUUUAUUAUGGAAUUAGACAAUUUUUGUUUGGUUUUCCUAAUACUUUCUCUCUUUCCGAGUUUGAGAAUUAAACUAACGUGCAGAUUUGGAUUACUAUCAGUCAGAACUAUUGUUCUGUGGCUCUCACAACAGUACAAGGUAAAACUAGCUUUUUCAUAGAUACGUGAAAAUCUGAACAACUUGGAAGGACUUCUGUUUGAAUCUUAAUUUGUGUUACUUUCUCUGUUAGCUGAGACAGCAUUUGCAUGCAACACUGAAUGGGCAGCAGUACAGCAAAGGUAGGAAUUGACCAGGCUUGAUGGAAAAUGAGAAGAAACCAUUGUGUUCACACGAGGCUAUGCAGCUCAUCAAGUCAGUGCAACUCUCCAUUCAGAAUUCCAAUCAGCCCUGCUCCUACUCCUGCCCUACAGUCCUUUCCCCUCUAUCACCGCCCUCCUGGGCAACGCAUACUGUAUCCAAGAUGUCCAUACUGUAUGGAUCCAAUGUAUCCAUACUGCUUUUCAAAAUAAGUUCUUCCCCACAUUUCUUGACAUCACUCGCCCAAACCUUAAAUCCACGUCUUGUAGUCUUUGUGCCAGUAAUUAAUGAGAGCGGCUUUCUUUUGUCUAAACUUUUGUUUGCCUCCAUUGGAUAGAUGGCAUUUCAGUACUUAAUGUGUGGCCUGAUGCAUGAAGAAUGGCUACUUGUGUGAGAUGGUGGUGGGCUGACAGUGCCCUCGUUAAGGUGUACACUAUUAGGAGAGGAGUCCCAUGUUGAAUGGCACUGACCCUGCCCAGGUGAAGUAAGAAAAUAUCUACUCAGCCCGCAUGCUGUUAUUCUGUCAAGUUGAACCAGUCAGACUCUGCUUUCAGGUGAAACUGGAAUUGGCUCAAUCUCAAACACUGAGGGAAAAGUUUUAUUGCUUGAUUGGUGGUCACAAAAGAGGCAGGACAAACCUGGCAUGCUAAGGUUUAGGACAGACAAAUCCUCUUCAAGGAAAUGUGAAAAGGCUUGCAGUGUCUAAUUUUGUGUAGUGGUGAAUGGUGUCACCCAAUAGCAUACAAAGAAACAAAAAUACUCUUGUGUCUGUUUUGCCUCUAACAUCUCCAAGUCAAAUAGUCACCAAUAAUGCACCACCAUAUUAAUAAUCUGCCCAUAAUAUCAUGGUGAAUUUAAAGUUAAAAGAUUAGUUAAUUGUUACAAUAUCAUACCUCACUUGCUGUUCUAAUCCCUGUUUUAACCCACCUCAUUGUUUCUAAGCUUUAUAAAACAAUUUGAGAGCUGCUUUAUGUGUAGAAGAGCAUGAAGUACCGCAUGCCUAGAGCUAUUGUUAACGUUUCUAAGGUUUUGGAGUAGAUCUGUAGCUCGGGCUGUGGGUGUUGAGCUCGGCGAGCAAACCAACCUAUUGUUAACUUUGUAUUCUGCUCCCGUCAUUUCUGACAUCACCUAAUCACUAUUGAGAUACGGUUCCACACCUGUCAAUCAUCCAGCAGUAUAUUGCCCAAAUGGCUGUUGACUGGAUGCCUUGACAAUGAAUACCUCCAGGCACCCAAACAUCAUUACUGAACCCACUUAGGUACUCAGCUGCUCUCCACAAGAGCUUUUCCCUCAGGAUAAUCUGUGUAACCAUUCCAAGAAGGAAUACUGGAUAACUUUUCUUUCCCUUAGCCAAGGUACUUUGAAUCACUUUGGUGCCAUUUCAAUUAAUUCACUACGGACCAGAGAUCAAACUCAUGACCUUCCUAAACAAUAUGGAUCAGAGACCUUUCAUCUUGAGUCAACGAAGGGGCACCAUUAACUAAUGAUGUAUUUUACAUGUAAAAACUGUGACUGGAUUAAAACAGACCAGCGCAGUAAGUGCCCUAAUAUGUUUCUGUUUUCUUAUCUAUUCUCUUCUUACAUUCCAAGGUACCUGAAGAAAAUAUCAAUAGUGUGAUCAACGCUCUCCAAGUGAGUCAGAACAAGAAGCAGUAGCUGGGAAACUGAGGUGCUGGCAGCUUCAUCUUCACACAGUAGUCAAAGUUGAAACUCAGAUUUCAAGAAGAAACCUUUGGGUGUUUGUAAAGGAGCAGAAAGCCUGUGAAAACUAAUGAAAGCUGGUGGUUUUUUGAAGUUUGUUCCCAAAGUGAAUGUUACCAUUGUGUUCUUUGUGUGAGCUGUGUUACAUUGUACUGGUAAAGUCAAACCAUCUCUUUCUACUCAUGUUUUCCCCCACUGUGAAGGUGGUGAUUGGCUGUUGUCAAUGAAUUAGUUGGAUUAGUUAUCUCAUGUAGCACAAAGCUGAUUUCUCAAGUUCGGGGACAGAAGGGUCUGUUGUUAAGUGUAGAGAUGUCAAAUUUUGGGAGUGAUCACAUGGAGGUAAUCUAAUUUUGGGUCAGCUUAUGAUAUCACAAAUUGUGAAACUAAAGCUGGCAUCCUCUUCAGAUAACAGUCCUUUAAGUUACUCUCUGAUAGCUGUCACUCCGUUUAAAGUGUCGUUUCAUUUUAUUUGGAAAGUUCCUACACAUCUAGGCAGGUUGAUGCGUGAUGGCAUCCUCACUGUUGCAACAUUUUUAUUGCUACUACCUUGAGUAGUAAACUGCAGUUCACUCUAGAAAGUCCAGAUCUUAUUCUGUGGGAACAUAAACAGUGUAGCAUGCCAGCAAUUGCUGCCGCCCUUCCUUAUUCUCCCCUGUCUCAAAGUGGAUACUAAAUGUAUUUGGCAAGAAAGAUUAAUACAGGAAUCGUUGAGGCAAGUGACCAAAUAAUGUUCGCCCUUGUGAGGAGGUCUAAGUUUCCACAGUUCCAUUGAUGAUUAACUUGCUUUCUAUAUUUCAUGCUUGCACCAAGGUUGGUCACUCCCCUUAUAAAUAUUAUUCAGUGCUUCACAGAGAAAUGAAAAGGGAUUUAUUUUGGACACAUUAAACAAGCUAUUCCCAACACUCUGUUUUUCUAAUACUAUUGGCAAACUUAUGUCUUGACAUCCCUACAAAGAGAAAACAGACAGUACAGGAUCCAAGGAGAGGAGUUUAUCCUUUUUAAGCCACCUGAAGAACAAUUCCAACCAAAUUAUUGUCACAAUGUCUUUGAGCUGCCAGUCUGAUUUGAUUUUUACAUUUAACUGCUUUCCAGCAGGGUUGCUACGCUCCUUGCUUAACAUAUGGUCAGGUGUUCCAAUGACAGUUUAGCAUUAAAAUAGCUCUUCAAGACUUCUCAGCAGGAGUUAUUGUUCAAGGAAUGUAUCAUAAAGGAACAUAUCAGAACUGAGUCAUAUAUGAGCAGUUUCAGAAUUUUGAAAUACAAACAGAGAAGGAAAAUGUCUAUAACACAACAGUUCCGUUUUAAUUGCAGACCAUAUCUUCAGUGGUGGCAAGAAACACUGAUCAGACCUACUUAAACAAUGAUUUGAGGAUUUUGUUAACUUGUAAGCCAUCACACCUGUUCUUUUAGCAGCCCUUCAUUCAGUCAUUCAUGGCUCACCUCAAGUUUUUCUGUCACUUGUGAAAACCUCAAUUAGAGGAGGAGAGAAUUGGCAAAUUUUGUUUUUUUUUAAUUGUUUUCUUCUCUCUUUUCCUAAUUCUGUGAUUGAUGUGUUUUACUAAUUUCUGUGUCAAAUACGAAUCAUCACAUUGGCACUUGUAUCUCCACCAUAUCACUCAUGUCCUGUUGCACUGCUAGGUGCCAACUGCACGUGAAGAAGGAAGAAUGUAGCACUGUUUAUUUUUCAUAUACUAAUUUGCACACAGUUGCCUGAGUGAGCCUGAAGGCUGACACUUUGACGAUUUAAUCGAUUUAUACAGGCAAACUCCUAUAUCUUCUAUAAUUUCCUACUUCAUUAUUUAUACACAAAUUAUGAAGUAAAUAGGACUUAACUAAAUUGUACUGCUGCUUUCGUUGGUGUAUCCACUCAUGGUCUUUUUUUUAAAGCUGAAAACAGAGGAAGGAUUUUUAGAUUCAAAAACCUUCUGUGGUGAAUCAGCCACCAGAAGUAAAGAUAAGAUUGUGAAACUGCCUCUCCUGGUGCUGAAGUGCCUGCCCAGUGAUGCUGUGAUUGCUUUAUUAGAGAAUAUUAACAAAGCUAAGACAUUUGCUAAUAGAUAAAUCCGAAGGUAUGUGUUGAAAUUUAAUCUCAAAAUUAAAUUUAACCUUCUUACAAUAGUUAUUAAACUGAAUUCUUAAUUAAUUUCAAGCCUGGUUUACAGAUGGAAAAUAUUUUCCUGAUUAGCAGAUACAGCAUUUUGACAUUUUAUAGCUUUUACUGAAACUUUUAAGUUCUCUUGAAAUUCAGUUGAAAUAGUAUUUGCAAAAAGUUUACAAGUUUGUAAUUUUUGAACUGAAAUUUCUUGCUUGCUAUUAAUGGUUUUACAAAUCUCAUUAUAUUAUAAGCACUACUGUUGUGUUUAUUUUCCAAACUUGUAGUCAGUUUUUUUUAGUUCUUUUUUGCAUCUAAGGACACUAAUGUGUUUUUUUUAAAUAAGAGAUUUAAAUAGGUAAUUGAGAAUCCGUGCAGUCCUUUAAAUGAUAAAGCUCAAUUAACCUCUUAACUAGAGUCAACUAAACUAAUUGAACUCAGCCUGAGAACAUCCUGAUUUCAAACCACCUCACUCGGUUGGCACUGAAUGCUAAAAUCGCCCCAGAGCGCUGAUAUCCCUACUGCUAUUCCUGAUCUAGCACCUGAAACUAAUCUACAAAUCAAAGCAAUCCCUCUCUCCAGGGGCCUGCUUGCUGUCCAAUGGUGGUGUCCCUACCUCUGAGUUGGGAGGCCUGGAUUCAAGUUCCAGAGUUGUGUAAUAACAUCUCUGAUCAGGUUGAUUACAAAAAAAUCUCUCUCUAUGCUCCUUAAAAUGGAUGUUACUUCAUUCAUUUGGAUUAGAACUCCAUGCAUUUCCACUCCUGACUUCCCAUUCGUACUAGAUGAACAUAUGAGGCUCUACUGAUGAUGUUACUGUCCUUUUGUUUAUAAGCUACAACAGUAGAGGCUUCUAGCUCCUUUAUUAAUGCUGCAGCACUACCAGCUGACAGUAUAAGAGCUCGAUUGAUAUUAGACUAUUUUUUGCAUUGUUAUCUGAGUCCUAAGUAGCACAGAAAAAGUUGCACAUCACAGCCCUGUCUGACUGACAAGGCAGACCCUAGAUUCACUUAGACUGACUUACGGUUUCAACAAUAUCAUUCAAAUUCCCGAUAUACCAUCUUGUCAGCUGUUUUGCAAAGUGCUGCAUGAUAUUUUCCACUAGCUUUUAUUUCCUUGCCUUUAUAGUUUCUGUUCUAAUAUAAUUUUUCAUCGAUGUCUGACUGACAAGGCAGACCCUAGAUUCACUUAGACUGACUUACGGUUUCAACAAUAUCAUUCAAAUUCCCGAUAUACCAUCUUGUCAGCUGUUUUGCAAAGUGCUGCAUGAUAUUUUCCACUAGCUUUUAUUUCCUUGCCUUUAUAGUUUCUGUUCUAAUAUAAUUUUUCAUCGAUGCGUAGUUCUUUCUUAUCCUAUUUACUUAGUGUCCAACUAGGAGUUAAACAUGACCAAUGAUCUCAUGAUACAGUCUGGUUGAAGUCCUGGCUGUAUUAUCAAAUUGGAACUUCUUAAGUGUGAAGUUUACAACUGCUUUCUUUUUGUAAUAUUUCUUUCCACCUAUACACUUGAAGACACAAGCCUUACUUUACUCAGAGGAAAUAAGACAAUGAAACCGCAGAACUAUAUAUUACUACUAGUCCUCAGUUUGCUCUUCUAACAAGUCCGACCUUCAUAUCCUGCUCUCUGGUUAUUUGCCAUUCUGAAAAGGCUGCCAGAAUUCUAUCUGGACGAAAGAAUUGGCUGAGACAUCAGAAUUCUUUUUAGCUAUUUGUAUUGUAUCUGUCCUCAUUUCUGUAAAAUUACACUUCUGUACUUUUAGGAUCGUGGAUGGGAAGCUGUCAUUCGUCCAGCGUUUUCAUUUUCCCAUGGGGAACCCCAUUCAUUGCACCAAAUAAUUAAGGCUUCAUUGUAUCCCUAAUGGAAUAUGCAUUCCUGCUGAAAUAAAAACAAGAAAUGCUGGAACUGCUCAGCAGGGGAGUGAAUGUUUCAAGUUGGACCUUUAUGUCUGCAUUUUCUCUCCUCACAUGCUAUGUGUCCUGUUAAGUAUUUACAGAAUUUCCUGAUUAUAUUUCAGAUUCCAAGUAUCUGUAGUAUUUUGCGUCUAUAAUAAUGUGUUCACCCCAGCCUCUUACAGGAUUGCAGACCAUAGCGUAGUGCUUUGUAGAGCAGCUAGAAAGAGACUGUUAAAGCUCAUUGAAAUGAACCACUGAAAUAUGUGAUGUUUUAGUUGCAGGGAAGUUAGGAAGUGCUCAACCUUGGCAGACUUGGAGUAAACCUGCAGCUUAGAUCCAAAGGAAAUUAUGGCGUUUGUGUUGAAACAGAGAAAUGUCUUUUAGUGACAAAAAUAUUUUGAACACUUAGUCAAGUUUUAAGAAUUUAGCUAUUGAUCAUCCUAAAAAUAAAUCAUCAAAAUGCUAUUAGUGAAAGACGUUAUUUAAGUUUCUAGUUCUGUGAAGUAAACCUAACCAGACUAAAAGGUUUGGUGGCAGUUUCAGUUGACACAUUUUAUUUUGUAUUAAUUCAUGGGAUGUGAACUUUGAUGACCUGGGAUAGCAUUGAUAGCUCAUUCCAAAUUGCUCUUGGGAACGUUGUGGUGAGCUGAUGCCUUCAACUGCUGCAGUUGGCAGGAGCUAUUGGUACACACUGCUGUUAGGAAGGGAGCUCAAGGAUUUUAACCCAGCAGUUAAGGAAUGGAGAUACAUUUGCAAAUAAGCAUGGUGUAUGGUUUGGAGGGGAAUUUGCAGGCGGUGGUGUUCCCAUGUGUCUUCUCUUACCUUCUAAAAUGGUAGCGGUGUCUGUUUUGGAAGGUGCUGCUGUAAGAGCCUGGAUGAGUUACGACAGUGCAUCUUGUAAAUGGUACACAGUUUGACCACUGUGCCUUGAUGGUGAGGGGAGUGAAUGCUGAAGGUAGUGGAUCGGGUGCCAAUCAAGCAGACUGUUUUGUAAAAGUUGUUAUUGCCAUGAGUAUUAUAGCACCAGCAAGAAUAGUUUUAACUAAGGUAGCUGGAUAAGCUAGAGAUGUAUUACUUUGCCUUCUUUAUGCAUGCUAAUCUAACACAUAAUGCCCAGUGUCAUUUUCAGCUUUCCUGCAGUCACCUGACCAACUCAAUUUUUAGUCCAAUUUCUAGUACAUUGUGACAGAUAAAGCAACAUUUGUAAGCCAUUCCGAGCACAGAUAAAAUACCUGUGUUGUAUAGCUGUGGUUGCAUUACCUGUAUGAGAAUAGUAUCUAUACAGUAUGACUGCAGUUGUACUGUGAUCUGUGGUGUUCAGAAAGUGAUAUUGUUGUCGGAACUUGAUGUUACCAUAUUGCUGGCCAUGUUCAACACUUAUGCUUUACUUAAGAGGAUUUAUUGCAUUAUUUUAAUCUUACUGAUUGUAUCAGUAUCUCAAAUGAGCAUCACUAACUAGAUUGAUGCCAGAAUUGCAGGUACAGGUGUAUAAUCAGUGAUUAAUGUGCUUGUAAAUGAUGCUAUGGAGGGAUGAGAAACAAAUUCAAAUUUUAAUUUCAUUACAAUUUCCCAUUUAUUAUUUUAAUUGUCCACUACUACAUAAUCCUGUCUACCUGCAGUGUGGAGGGAAUCUUCCAGAGGCCCAUUGUAUUCUAUGGAAUGUACAACACAAAAACAGAUCACUCGACCCAUUUAGCACAUGCUCGGGUUUAUAUUAUACACCUUCCACCUUCCAGCAUUACAUUUUCUUCGCCUUGCUUUCAUGUGCUUAUCUAGUUUUGUCUUAAAUAAAUUGAUAUUAUUCAACUCAGCUACUACAUGUGGUUACCUAAACCAUACUUUGCUGUACAGGAAGGGAGGCAUUCCAAGGUUUGAAUCUGUAUUUCUCUAGCACCCUUAGAAGUUGUAAGUGCAAGAUACGGUUGCUGAUCAUCACCUAAUAUUCCCACUGAGCUGUCCAGGUACCAAACUCACAAAGUAUCGCACACUAUUGUUCUGGCAUAAAUUGCUCAUGUACACAACUGCACAAAAAGGGAACUAUGCACCAGAUUUGAAUUUUAAUGGGAGCAUCCUUCCACCUCAUUCACUGGCAGUGAUUAGCAAUUGUGUACUGUUGUUGAGCAUUGGUAAAUAUUACAGACUACUUGUCAACACAAACAAAAACAAAGUUGCUGGAAAAGCUCAGAAGGUCUGGUAGCAUCUGUAGGGGAGAAAACAGAGUUAACGUUUCGGGUCCGGUGACCCUUCCUCAGAACUCAGCCUUGUGACCUACAUCUAAAGACAUAUAGUCUGUAGAACUGCAUUUCAUUGAUCAGCUCAUGUCAGUUUCGUCAGUUUGUUUUAACAGUUUUUCUCUAGUGUAUUUUUAUGAUUUUAAUUUGAUCAGUUAAGCAGAUACCUGAUCCAAUAAUCGUCCUCUAACUGGGAAGAGACACCAACAUGUGAAACAGUAUUCAUUUCUCUUCAACUAUUAAUUAAUUAUGUAUUGUUCACAUUUUUAUCAUUUAAUACAGAAAAUAAUCUGGGCAGAGGUCAGUUUUCGAACACACCCUGCAAGCUUGUUAAACUUCAGUUUCUUCAGUUGUAAUUGCUACACAGCUGAGUCACUAGAAACCUCAUUCUUUUAAGACCUGAAGAAUACACUAUGUACUAUACCCUUAGGUCUUUAUUCCCCAUUACCAAAAUCACCCAUUUCUUUAGAGUUCAGCAAAUCUCGUCAUUGAGCCUUUGACCCAGUAUAACUUAGUCCAGUGGCAGAUACAGGAGGUGUAAUAUUUGUAUGCAAUCCUGACAAAUAUAUAUUUGGUGAAGGAAUCAACCAAAUCCAGCGGAUUAUGAGCAUCAAAUUAGAUUACAGUGCUCUUCACUGCGCUGUGCUUCUGCAGUUGAUUCUACCUCAAAAGUAACAAGUGCUAUGUUGAAUGGCUCUUUAAUUCUCACAUAUUGUAUGUUCUUAUCAUUAUUCAAUUAAACAUGGCUGGGUAAGGUUCCUCAAAUGAUUACACAAAGAGAUUCUGCCAUUCCAUGUUAACAUGAUGAAAUCAGAAGAUCAUACCUAUGUGCAUUUACACUGUUAGAAGUCACACAACAGGAGAUUAUGGUCCACCAGGGUUAUUUGGAAUCACACAAACUUUCGGAGUGCAGGCGCUUCUUCAGCUGUGCCCCGGAAGCUUAUGUGAUUCCAAGUAAACCAUGUGACUUUUGAUUUUGUCCACUCCAGUCCAACACCAGCACCUCCAUAUCACUUACACUGUUGCCAUUAUGACCCCUUCAUCCAUGGGAAGAGUAUAGUUCCUCUUCCAAAUCUAACCUGAUUCCUUGCUCUUGGAUUACUUUGAACUUUCACAAAGAAUCAAAACUUGCACUUGGGCCCUCAAGACUUCCCAAAGUGUUCUACAGCUGUUGAACUUAUGAUAGAUUUGAGGUAGAGUUUCUAGAGGAAUAAUAUAAGAUUUGGAGUAAGUCAUUCCACUUCCUAGGCUUACAUGAUGAUCCCAUUGGAUUCAAACGGUGCCAAUCAGUUUCUGGCAGGAAAAGGCCUAGCAGCCUAUUAUCAUCUGUUGCCUUUCAGACAAGUGGCAGGAUGAAAUUCAAGGAGAGUUCCAUAGGCUGGAGGUGAGUGGAGUCCAAAGUAUUGGAUCCAUGAGACCUCCCAAGUAAGGUUUUAUGGACAUUUCUGUCCUUUCCACGAGCUGUCGAUGCAAUCCAAGAUGGCAAAAAAGCCAUUUUAAUGUCCCACGCAAAUCCCAAUUAAAUUGCCAUCAGGCUACAAUUGACAUCACAGGAGUCCAAAUUUAUAAGACAUGUUAGCUACUUCAGAUGGGCAUGUUUGCACUGCGUAUUAAUACCAGCAAUGGCAGUAACAUGUUCCACAUUCAUUUUUAACAGCCAUUCACCCAAUUUCUAUCACGGUGGGUAACCAUUAAAAUGGCCCCCCUAGAAUUUAAUUCUGAAUAGUCAUGCAUAAAGUAGACACAAUGUAGGACUAUAGACCUUGACCAUAAAUUAGUACAGUUAUUUCUGCUAUAAUGUAUGUUUUGUUAAUGCGAAUUGGCUGUAAAACGAUUGAUGAUUAGUAGAUGCUGUUUGGACAAUGCAAGCUUUCUCCAGUACAAGUAUAGUGAUUGUGCUAUGGCAGUUUUCUAUAGCGCGAGAUCCCACAAGAAUGUAACUAUCAUUUAUAGGAGAACAACUUGUAAGUGUAGAUAAAGGAUUUAAACCCAAUUCAUUCUCUAGGUAUGUGGACCUAUUGGGCUUUGAUCAAUCUGUUGUUGAGAAUUCUUUGUAGUUGGCCAUUGUGCUGUGAAAGGGAUGUUGAGAAUUAAAAUUGAUGUUUAUCCUUUAAUCCUUACAUAGGAUUUGAAAUUAGUGCUUCAGAAACUCACAGUGCCCUCCGUAAUCCCAUGGCUUGUAUGGAUUUAAUACUACUUUUCUGUAAGAACCCCUUUUAUUGGCCAGAAAGAGCUUGCUGUACUUUAUUGCAUUAACUAUUUAUCUGAUUAAACAUGCACCUGACCUGCAAAUAGGAUGAGCAUUAUCUCUAAUGCCAAUUCCUGCCCAGUGUAGUUGGGGUGUUAUUUUGAUGAAGAGGUGACAAUGAUUUAAUUUUGUUCAGUACACUGGAAGCAAGAGUUGGGUCGUCAAUACAGUCUGGCUCUCUUUUUAAAUUCUCUCAAUUUUGUUUCAGUUUUUCAGACUACAGUAUUUUUUCUGUUUGCCAACUGCCCACUUGUUGUUUUGAUUGAAUGUAUGCAUUGCUGAAAUAGUGAUGAUUCUUCAAAAGUAAUGGUUAUCUAUAUGCAAUAUCUCCCAUACUUCCCCAUUCUAAAUAUUCCCUGGAUUUUCCAUAGUUAAGGUAGAGUAGUUCAUAACAAUAAUGUUAUUAAUGUUCUUCUCAUUUAUACUUGGUUUUUCUCAGUGAAACACAUACAAAGAGGUGCAUUUUUGUGUAAGAAGACAUUUUGUGUCCUGUUUCUAUGCUGUUGAGAAUAGGACUUUCUUAACCUACUAGCUGCAUUCCCAAAUCAGGAAAUAGAUGACAGCAGGCAUUAUUGGAAAGUGUUGUGUAGUAUGAAUUUGGCCAAAGAUCUAUUUAAAAAUAGGUUUCCUGUGAUUUUUAUUCUGAAAGCUACUAACUGUGUAAAGUGUGAAUUUGAUUCAUGAUAUUGAACGUGAGGAUUGAAAAACUACCUGUUAAUGUAAUCAAAUAAUUUAAUAAUGACCAGUUACUCAAAAGUAACUUAUUGACCUGGGAAUCAAUAUUAUUACUUAUUUAAAACAUGUAAUUAUAUUAGCAGUUUAGAAAUUGUAAAAUUUGUGAUAAUCGUGAUACAGCAGUAUCUGGAGGGAAGGGGGACAGGAAAAAUUCAAAUAAACAUUCUGUAAUUCAAUUAAGUCGACAAUGUUGCAAGCUCCUUGUUACCUUCAAGGGAUUCUUGUUAGAUCGAGUUAGGUCAUCCAUCGCAAAAGUAUUUAGUUAAUGAUGGUAUGGAAAAAUAUACUUAGUUACUUGUUGCAACCCCCAGAGCUAUGAUAACAUUUUCUGUGGGGUUUUCUUCGUUUUGCGUUCAGUAGUGACUAAUUUGCUCUGUGUGUUUGAGAAAGCGGAUGAUAGGCUGGUGAGAUUCUAACAUGGGAUUUGAAACAUGAUGGGUAUUGAACAUCUCAUUGGAUUGCAUUGUUCAGGCAGGUUGAGGUUAGACAACCUCAUCAGUACGCCCCACGAGUAGGACUAAUACGAUACCGUUUAAAAUUCUGGUAACCAAUGUGAGCUCAUUUAGUUUUAAUUGUAUACCUGUCUCUUCGUUACAAUUUGAAUAUUUUUAAUGCACUUAUUCUUGCAUGGAAUUUUAAUAUUAUUGAAAGAGUGUUAUAGUGUUGAGGUAGAACUUAGAAAUAAUCUACAAUAUCCCACAUGGAAAAGAAGUAGAUCAUUAUUAUUGCGUAUAUUUAGGCUUUGGUGGCUACCCUUCACAUACAUCUCCUUAUAAAUUAAACCAGUGCUGAGAUAGUUAUUGAAUGAGGUCAGGUAAAAAAGUGUGAAGGUGACAAUGGUGUCACUUUCAACCUAAGUGGGCAGUAGUGGAUUGGGCACAGAUGUAAAUAUAGUAAAAUGUGAGGCU
RNA transcript from Stegostoma tigrinum, 14974 nucleotides. It is a transcript of the gene named cytosolic arginine sensor for mTORC1 subunit 2, with no coding region annotated. Lineage: Eukaryota; Metazoa; Chordata; Chondrichthyes; Orectolobiformes; Stegostomatidae. The record is from RefSeq and is a predicted model, not a curated record. The transcript has 9 exons.